UUUAAAUGUAUGCGUUGCAAA
This 21-nucleotide non-coding RNA is filed under the name Rattus norvegicus (Norway rat). Lineage: Eukaryota; Metazoa; Chordata; Mammalia; Rodentia; Muridae. The record is from RNAcentral.